Non-coding RNA from Stegodyphus mimosarum, 73 nucleotides. The record is from Rfam. NCBI's taxonomy places the organism in Eukaryota, Metazoa, Arthropoda, Arachnida, Araneae, Eresidae.
GUCUUCGUGGUGUAGUGGCCAGCACCCUCGGUGCGUAUUCGAGAGAUCCGUGGUUCGAGUCCCGGCGAGGGCA